GACGAACGCUGGCGGCGUGCUUAACACAUGCAAGUCGAGCGGUAAGGCCCUUUCGGGGGUACACGAGCGGCGAACGGGUGAGUAACACGUGGGUGACCUGCCCUCAGCUCUGGGAUAAGCCUGGGAAACUGGGUCUAAUACUGGAUAUGACUCCACGGUGCAUGUCGUGGGGUGGAAAGCCUUGUGCGGCUGAGGAUGGGCCCGCGGCCUAUCAGCUUGUUGGUGGGGUGANGGCCUACCAAGGCGACGACGGGUAGCCGGCCUGAGAGGGCGACCGGCCACACUGGGACUGAGACACGGCCCAGACUCCUACGGGAGGGCAGCAGUGGGGAAUCUUGCGCAAUGGGCGAAAGCCUGACGCAGCGACGCCGUGUGAGGGAUGACGGCCU
Molecule: ribosomal RNA, 389 nt
Filed under: uncultured bacterium
Lineage: Bacteria
Description: bacterial SSU rRNA
Rfam family: Bacterial small subunit ribosomal RNA
Source: RNAcentral